UUAGGUGGAGGUGUUGGAUUC
RNAcentral lists this non-coding RNA (21 nucleotides) under Arabidopsis thaliana (thale cress). Lineage: Eukaryota; Viridiplantae; Streptophyta; Magnoliopsida; Brassicales; Brassicaceae. The record is from RNAcentral.